Molecule: ribosomal RNA, 497 nt
Filed under: uncultured bacterium
Lineage: Bacteria
Description: partial 16S ribosomal RNA
Rfam family: Bacterial small subunit ribosomal RNA
Source: RNAcentral
GAUGAACGCUGGCGGCGUGCCUAAUACAUGCAAGUCGAGCGAACGGACGAGAAGCUUGCUUCUCUGAUGUUAGCGGCGGACGGGUGAGUAACACGUGGAUAACCUACCUAUAAGACUGGGAUAACUUCGGGAAACCGGAGCUAAUACCGGAUAAUAUUUUGAACCGCAUGGUUCAAAAGUGAAAGACGGUCUUGCUGUCACUUAUAGAUGGAUCCGCGCUGCAUUAGCUAGUUGGUAAGGUAACGGCUUACCAAGGCAACGAUGCAUAGCCGACCUGAGAGGGGGAUCGGCCACACUGGAGCUGAGCCACGGACCAGACUACUACGGGAGGCAGCAGUAGGGAAUCUUCCGCAAUGGGCGAAAGCCUGACGGAGCAACGCCGCGUGAGUGAUGAAGGUCUUCGGAUCGUAAAACUCUGUUAUUAGGGAAGAACAUAUGUGUAAGUAACUGUGCACAGCUUGACGGUACCUAAUCAGAAAGCCACGGCUAACUACGUG